Long non-coding RNA from Myzus persicae (green peach aphid), 2885 nucleotides. RefSeq lists it as uncharacterized. Lineage: Eukaryota; Metazoa; Arthropoda; Insecta; Hemiptera; Aphididae. The record is from RefSeq and is a predicted model, not a curated record. The transcript has 2 exons.
UUAAUCAUAAGUGGCUUUACAAAAAUUCAAUUGUAAACGUUUUUUAAAAUUUUAAACAAAAAUAAGGAUAUUUUCUGUAACGAUUUUAGUUGUUCUGGUAUAAUUCAAAAAAUAUUAUUCAUAGAAACUUGAAAUUUUCCAACAUUAAGUAUUUAUUUUAGAUUUUAGUCUAGCAAUUGCAAAUAUAUCACGCAAUGGAAGAAUCUUUGCUCAAAACACAUGAGUAAGGAUUGUAAUAUUUUAUAAGCCCAUGUGUCGCCUAUACCUAAGACAUGAUUUGUCUUCGUGUAAGUAAUGCGAUAUUACCAAUACCAUAGUACAAAAGUAUAAAUUGUGUCACUUUCUAAAAAUGUAUUGAGUUUAGUCUUAAGUGUGCGCUCUGCAGUGUAGAGUAUUCGUUUAUUUAUAUAUACGGCAUACACCUAUGUAAAUUAUAUAUAAUAUGGUGACAUGGCUUAAUACUGCUUAAUAAUAUACAUAAUUUUUGUUUUAACUUUUUUUAAAACUUUUAGAGUAAGUAGUGCCAAGGAUUUACGUUUCUGUAAAAGCAAUUCAUUUUAAUAUAUUACAAAAAAACUCCUAUCUAUAAGAUACUAACCGUUUCCAAUAGUAUGGCGAUUAGCGUUCGAACUGAUGACGCAAAUAAUAAUAAUAAUAAUUGAGUUUCGGAAACGGCAUGCCUAAGGGAUAGUUCUGCAAUUUGCUGUCGACGAACAAAUUAAUACGUUUACGAGCAGUAGGCGACGCGAGCAUCGCCGUCGUACGGUAAUAUAAUUUGGCAAGGACCGACGUGACCGCCGAUGGUUCACCGACCUCGGUGCGCUAACGGCGCGACGGCACUAAUAAUAAUAAUAAUAAUAAUAAUAAUAAUAAUAAUAUGAUGGUCGUUCUCUCCCGCGCUCUGAAACUGGCAAUACGGCAGAGCGCACAUAAUAUCAUAACAUAAUAUUCAAUAUAAUAUAAUAUGCAUAAAUAAAAAUAUAACGCAAUGCGAUCCACUUGAAAUUUGUCAUCGAAAAAAAAAAUCAUUCUGAGGCCACUCGGCGUGAUAGUGUCGUCCCUAUUCCGCGGCGAGCGCUGCAAAAGCGCAAUCGACAGAGGCGCGCGCCAUUUGUAGGUACCUAUAUUGUGUUUUCGACGGCACGUGCACACACACACAUACAUACACAUACACAAAGUUCGGGUAGUUCAGCGGGAUGUAUCCGGCCCUUUCCUGACCACCUACUCUCCUCCAACCAACUCAAACAUUCGCAAUCCCAGUGACCGCCUCCGACCGACUGCAGCUGUAUACAGAGUGAUUUACCAAGCAUCCACAGAUCUAUUUUAUAUUUUUAUCCUUCCAUUAUACAUUAAUACUUAAAUUCUGGUUUUAUAAUUGUUUUAAUCCUACGCUUUAAGACCACAUUAUAAUAAUACCUUAAAAUACUUAAAAUAUUUAUGCUAUUUAAGGAGAGUCUUAUGAUAACAGUUGCUUUCCUUUUAUCAAAAUAGAUUUGAAACCCAACCGUUUUUACUGUAAAUUGUUUCGUAGCUAAUUUUAUUUAAAAUUUGGGUAUACAUAAAUGAAUUUAAAUUCAAUUAUUAUUAAAUUUUUACAAUUAUUUUCUUAGUUAUUUCACUAUACGUGUAUUAAGAUCGAUGAUAAAAAGCUUAGGAGAUUGGGAACUAUAAUGAUUUUAUAUUAAUCAUUAAUAAUUAUUCAUCUAUUAGCAUUUUAUAACUUGUAAAAGUGUUCUGUUUAUUACUAAUUGACUAAUUACUAAAUAAAUAAUAAUAGUACAUCUGUAUCAAAUUAAUAUUUAUGUAUAACUAUUUUCUAUAGCGCCAAUAUUUUCUAAAUAAUCUUAACCUAUUAAUUAUUAUCAAGGAGUCUGGCACUAUUCUUACCAUCUAAUAAAGUUUAAUAGCUCAGAAAAUUUUGAAUUCUGAUGUAUAAUAAUUAUACAUUUAAAAAAAACCAUUGGCUUGGAAAUUUAACUUAAAAUAAUGAAGUUAUUGUUUGAAAAAAAUAAGUUUGCACCACCACAAGACGCUUUUUAUAUGACAUUUAUUAUUAAAAAUAUUUUUAAAUUAUAAAGUUUUUACUUAAAAAUUCUAAAAAUUUGAAUUUAAAUAAAUUCAUUAUUAGAAGAAAAAAUAAGCAUCAUACAUAUUUGAUGAAUCACCCAAAUUUAGGAACAAAAAAAAACAUGAUAUACCUACCUAACAUCGAGUAAAGUAACUCUACCCUCUGCUGUACUAAAUAUAUAUAUAUAUUAUGUAUGUAUAGCCCGGUAAGCUAUACAGAUGUUCUUUAUUUUAACGCUCAACCGGUUAUUUCGUCAAUAUUUUUCAUACUUGCAUUUUUUCUUUCUUUCUUUUUUUUUCAUUCAAGUAUCUUCUUUGUUAUAUAUUAUUAUAUAUAUUUUAUUUUUGGCGAACGGGUUUAUCAGUUUCUUUUUGGACCGAGUGGAUGUUGAAUACGAUGAGGAGGAGGAGCAGCAGAAGAAGGCGGCUGCUGGUCUCGAAUCACAAAAGAAUCGUUGAACCAUGCUGAGGUGACAGCGCGGGCUGGCUGAGAUUGAGAAAUCCGCGUAGAGUCCCUAGUUUUAUUUUUCGUUUUUUUUUUCAUUUAUUCUCACCAAGCAAUUUUUACUCCACACCACAUUAUGAUCCGACACCGAUUAUUAGUGCGUUUCUGCGGCGAGUCUAUAGAAUAUGUGCCAGCGCGCGGAAGUCGUUCGACAGAAUUUCAAAUUAAACCGUUUUUUACUUACAUAUAGGCAUAUAUUAUAUACAUCACAUACGUAUAUCGCGUCCAAUCCACUCGAAAUAAUAACGAGUUAGCGUUCAUUCUUCAGUCUAUUUAUUUUAGUACCCGACGGACAUCUGGAAUUUUCGAACGA